AAAGAUCUUUAGAAGCUUCCAUGGAAGAACAUCACGUCUUUUACAUUGAGACAUCACAAGCAUACACAUCAAUUGUACAGCAACCGCCCUUCUAAACUACAAACAAGCCGCAUACUAAAUUUGUUACCAAGUGUACUUUCUUGCUGAUUACAUGGUUCCAGAAAAAUCGGAGUCUGAGACAACCAGACAUGAUCUGUACUAGUAUGGGAGGUGACAUUAUCAGUUUCAUGAGCUGCCAACUAGGAGACAUAUGAAGAUGACUCCUACUCUGAAGAUUAUCCGGUCAUGCCUUCAACUAAUCGAUUUGAAGAUCAAAGGAAAACUAUUGUUGGAGCAUGAAAGAUGGUCCUGAAUCUGAAUAAUCACCGAAUAGUCAGUUCUGGAGCAACCAUAAAAAACAUGAUAUAGAAAUAUUUACCUACCAAUGAGUGGUCGCGGAAGAGGCUUAUGUGGCCUGACAAUAUGUAUGUAAGUAAUCUUGAUAUGUCAUUCUUCACUGCAGCUAUAUAGUAUAAACAGUCAUUAUUGGGAAGCAAAGGAUAGCGAGAUGGAGGAAGGGACAAUAACUCAAAACGAAAAACAGAAGAAAAAGAGGUACAACAAGUUUGCAUUCAGAUUUCUGAAAAAAUAUGAUAAUCUCAUAUCUUUUUGUCAAAAAUAGCCCCAACAUAUUAGAUGAAAACAAUAAAGUGAAAGUGUACCUAAAUAUUAUAUGAAAUAAGUUGCUGUGAUAUUACCUCAAAUUAAAAUCAGUACCAAUAUCUAGUCAUAUAGUUUCUAAAACAAAUCCUCCAGUACAGUGGCAUGCAAAUAAAGUGAGCAUGAAAUUCUAUCCACUGAAGGAAUCAAUUUCGCAACCUAAAUAAGAUGAUAAUAAGGUACAAGGGUGUGCUUCCAAACCAGGGACAUGCCACAUAUGCAACCAAGAGCAGGAAAUGGCGAUGCAUUGUUUUAUGCAUAAUUCUUGGAUGCAACAACUUUGGCUACCUGCCUUGUCAAUGUCAAAAGCAGCUUCUGAUUUGCAUAAGAACAUGAAGAAUUGCAGCCCUGUUCGCGGUCCACAUCUUCAACAGAUUUACCAGCUCCAGGCAAUAAGACUCCAUAAUGACCUUCCAACAUAGUAAUGAGCCAAGCCAAACUUUGGAGUGACACCCCAUCUUGCAAAUCCAUUGAAACUAACAUAGGUUAUGAAUCUCAUAGCAAUCACAUAAGCAAUCAUAGGCAGCUCUAUCCUCUAUGCGAAACUAACAUUGGAUUGUCUUUUACUAAAAAUUUGCUACCAGAUAAAACAGGGAUCCCAAAGUAUCGCAUUUAUAGAAUAAAAAGGUCAGUUCACUACUAUAUCAUGUUUUUUCAAACAAAUUAUAGGGAACAAUAUAUGAGGUUUUGCAAUGGAUUGUAAGGAACACCGACAUUCUGCAAGUCAUGGUUUAGUAUACAUUGUAUAUAGGAGACUGAAAAAAACCAGUUUUGUCCAAAAGAUGAACUACUGUAGAUAAUAAAAUCAGGAAGAUGAACUUGUUAAUGCUUUCACGAAGUUCAGUUGAACAUUGUAAAGUACAAGUUCUGUUUCAUAUUGUUUACGAAUAAAGGAUCCAAACAGGGAGUGCAUCCCUUGUAAUUUGCAUGAAGAUCGUAGAAAUAUACUCGUAGCUCAUACCUAAAUAUUGUGCUGACAGCGCACUAUUCCAAAUCUUAAUCAAUAAAAAGAUGCCUUUUGAGAAGAAGCAUACAGACCUAGAUCUAGAUCCUUGAGCUGCUGUAGUUGGAUAGUGCCACCGGCGGCGUUAGUGGUAGAUUGAGUAUGCCCUCACAACGAGGCACUGCUGCGAAAGACGAAAUCAAGGCACUGCUUUCAACAAAUCAGAUCACCCAUCUGGAUUUCAGUGAGACGACGCUCCAUUGGUACAUGAUUGAGAGAGAUCAAGCGAAAUUUACUAACCUAUUUUGCCUGUUGGAGUGGUACAGAAGAGGGAGAGAGAGAGAGAAUACUGAUUUUGGUGAAGAUCUGAGAUCAGUUCUUGAGCUCGCUGGACCUUAACAAUAGCACCAGGCGGCUGCACUGGUACAGAAUCUGGCAAGGGGAAGAACACGAUCUGGAUAUGAUGAGAUCAAAUCGCUGCAUUUAACUGCACUGCAAGGACUGUUCUGCAAAUGUGCCAGCAGUCCCAUCAUCUCACUGAAUCCUGUCCCUCUAUUUUGAAUCCAAC
This 2210-nucleotide long non-coding RNA is filed under the name Triticum aestivum (bread wheat). RNAcentral describes it as "long non-coding RNA (TAES_LNC025343)". The record is from RNAcentral. Lineage: Eukaryota; Viridiplantae; Streptophyta; Magnoliopsida; Poales; Poaceae.